GAGAGGUAACGGCUCACCAAGGCAUCGACGGGUAACUGGUCUGAGAGGAUGAUCAGCCACACUGGAACUGAGACACGGUCCAGACUCCUACGGGAGGCAGCAGUGGGGAAUCUUGCACAAUGGGCGAAAGCCUGAUGCAGCGAUGCCGCGUGCGGGAAGAAGGCCCUAGGGUUGUAAACCGCUUUCAGGAGGGAAGAAAAUGACGGUACCUCCAGAAGAAGGCGCGGCCAACUACGUGCCAGCAGCCGCGGUAACACGUAGGCACCAAGCGUUAUCCGGAUUUAUUGGGCGUAAAGAGCUCGUAGGCGGUUCAGUCAGUCGGGUGUGAAAACUUGAGGCUUAACCUCAAGAGGUCACUCGAUACUACUGUGACUAGAGUGCGGUAGGGGAGCGGGGAAUUCCAGGUGUAGCGGUGAAAUGCGCAGAUAUCAGGAGGAACACCAGUGGCGAAGGCGCCGCUCUGGGCCGUAACUGACGCUGAGGAGCGAAAGCAUGGGUAGCAAACAGGAUUAGAUACCCUGGUAGUCCAUGCCGUAAACGUUGGGCACUAGGUGUGGGGGACAUUCCACGUUUUCCGUACCGUAGCUAACGCAUUAAGUG
This 600-nucleotide ribosomal RNA is filed under the name uncultured Actinomycetes bacterium. RNAcentral's name for it is "bacterial SSU rRNA". It matches the Rfam family "Bacterial small subunit ribosomal RNA", at positions 252 to 866 of the family's 1533-position model. The record is from RNAcentral. Lineage: Bacteria; Bacillati; Actinomycetota; Actinomycetes.